AGGGUUCAUUCAAAAUUUGAAAACUUUUUCAUCCAAAUACGCUCCAACAAAUAUCUUAAAUAUCUUAAAUUCUGCAUAUAUUGACCUGCUCUUCAUCUUCGUCCAAUUGAAUCGAUCAAUCGACCUUUACAACAUUAACCAUCAUCCAAACAUCAGCCACUAUCACUGAUGUCCUAGGGUUCGCCAUACCCAUCGUCACCACCAAUCCCCCAUCUAUAAAUCCUCAAAAUCUCGCUGCUAGAGUAUUUAAGAGUUUAUCGCUUGGGUUGCUUGCCCUGAUAUCUGCAUUACGUCAACAUAUUUUUUCAUCAUAUGUACACUUAUUAGUUAACAUUUGGUGGUAUAUACUUUGUAGCUUACAACGUGAACUGAAGGUCACCCUAGAUUUGCUUCCAAAUCAAUUUGGGUCCAAAAGUAGCUUCCAAUAUGUCUGUACAAACACAUAUGCAGCAAGGUGGAUCAAACUCGAAAGGAGAAAAAAGAUAGAAAGUUUAAGUAGAGGCCUGAUUGAGUAUUUUGAAUUUGGUGAGAAGUUCUAGGAAGAAUUUUUCCCUAAAAUGAUAUCUUUAUCGAUCUGUAAACCCCAAAACAUCUUCAAUCUAAAAAAUCAAAAUGAAUACCACCAAGGCCUCUCUCUGAACCUUCACUAUCUAAACAUCUAUUUUUAACUAUGUAUGUGUAUCGAUUUAUGGAUUUGGAUCUAAAUCUGGACACUAGAAACAUCAAUUUUAUCCCUAUUUGAUUUAGUUUUUAUUUGGAUUUACAGGUAUGGUUUGGACAACUUAGGCAUGGCCAUUUCGAUGAACAACAGAAUUAGGAGUAAGUUGUAGAAGGAGGAGGAACAACCGUUGAUGCAGUAAAAGUAGGAAAUUUUUUAUUUUUUGUGUUUUGUAUAAUUCUCUGUUUUAAUGGGUAUGGUUGUCUGUUUUUCGUUUUUGUGUUUUUCUUAAGGGAAAAAGGCCUUGCUCAUGAUGUACAAAGGAUUAUGGAGCAGGUUUGUCACUCCCAUCUUUUUUUGUUUUAAGAAACCAACCCAUAGCCUUGUAGUCCAUGUCUCCUUAUAUCGAUUUUUGUAUCCUAUUUUUUGGUUCCAUGUCUAUCAGUGACUGGGUUGGAUAUGAACAUGAUGACCAGUUUUGAUCAACUAUAUGGUUUUAUCAACGAUUAAGUAAGAAAUUAAAAAUCAUAUCAAGCACAACUAAACCUGAUAUACUUUUUAAUAGUUUAAUAAUUGUUUCACUUAUUUUUAUUGGAAAUUUGCAAUUGAUUCUUCUGUUUGAAUGUGUCUUGGAGUUUUUUUCUUAUUGUUUUGUUAGUUUAGGGUUUUGUUGAAAAUAUAACCACACUCUUUUCCUCAUUUUGUUAGUGAGGAUACCGUAUGUAUUUGUUAGUACAUUGACCUCUGUUUAUGUACAAGUCUUGAUUUGGAUUUCUUAUUUUUUUUUUUAUUGCAGAUGAAGCUUCUACAUUUUUAAAGAAAAAAGUUUCAGCUGCUGCUAGAGGUGCACAAAAAAACCAAUUCACGAUCCGAACCGGUUUCCGAACUGAAAACCGGUUCACCCCCGGCCCAAGCUAGAACCAAUCCGAUGCAAAACCAAACCGCCAGUUUGUAUAGGUUUAGAAAUAUAUAUGUUGGCACCGGUUUAGAACCGCUUUAAUGAGAACCAGUUUGCAGAACCUGUUUAGAACCGGUGUAGAAUCGGUUUUUCGAAGUUACCUAAAUAUAUAUAUUUUAACAAAAGUUAAUUGAAACAAACAAAAGGAUUAACGAGGAAACAAAAGCAAAGCAUGCUUAAAGGAUGAAGCAAUUGUUUCUAGAAGGCAAAACAUGCUUAAAGAAGGGGACAACUUUAUACUUUCCAUGUGAAAUUCCUGCACAAACCAUAGUUGACCAUUUUACCCCUGCACAAUUUUAUCUCCUUCUUUGGUGCACCUGAACCAACAAGAAAGGAGCAAUUGUUUCAAAAAGAAACAUUGCCUUCUCUUUUUUUGGUAUCUCAUAAUAUGAUGUUGUGUUCUUACAAUGUUGGUAUUGCAAUUGUGUUAGAAUUUAGCUUAACAGUAAAAGAAGAGAUGGAGUUUUUUUUUACGUGAAAUGCAUGGAGACACAACUUAUUGCUUACUGUCAAACUCUUCCUGCUUCAAACCAUAUUUCAUACAAGUGGUUUUUUUUUGAUCGGUGUCAUAUGAACCGGUUUGGAACCUAAUGGAACCGGUUUGCAAAAUUCACAUAUUUUUAUUGACGAACCGGUUAGGCUUGAACGGGUGUUAACUUUGUUGACCUGACCCGAACCGGUUUGGAAAAAAAAAACCCGGUUUGUGCACCUCUAGCUGCAGUUAGGAAAACUUCAGACCAUUUAUUGGAACUACGGUGGCUUCCUGAUAUUCCAUUUGUCUUUGCAAGCUUUCUGGUCACAACAGUUUUCAAUUUGCUUUAAUUCUUAUUGAUUUCACUUAAAUAUUAUUAGUUUUCAUCUAUAUCUGGAUUCUGACAUUUUUUAAAAAUUUAUUAAUUUUUUCCCAAGGAAGCACAAUUAGAGUCUUACAAAUGUUUGCUAUGUC
This 2562-nucleotide long non-coding RNA is filed under the name Lactuca sativa (garden lettuce). Its description in RNAcentral is "long non-coding RNA (LSAT_LNC003626)". Lineage: Eukaryota; Viridiplantae; Streptophyta; Magnoliopsida; Asterales; Asteraceae. The record is from RNAcentral.